Molecule: ribosomal RNA, 523 nt
Filed under: uncultured bacterium
Lineage: Bacteria
Description: bacterial SSU rRNA
Rfam family: Bacterial small subunit ribosomal RNA
Source: RNAcentral
AAAUAGAUACCCCGGUAGUCCACGCCGUAAACGAUGAGUGCUAAGUGUUAGAGGGUUUCCGCCCUUUAGUGCUGCAGCUAACGCAUUAAGCACUCCGCCUGGGGAGUACGGCCGCAAGGCUGAAACUCAAAGGAAUUGACGGGGGCCCGCACAAGCGGUGGAGCAUGUGGUUUAAUUCGAAGCAACGCGAAGAACCUUACCAGGUCUUGACACCCUCUGCCAACCCUAGAGAUAGGGCGUUCCCCUUCGGGGGACAGAGUGACAGGUGGUGCAUGGUUGUCGUCAGCUCGUGUCGUGAGAUGUUGGGUUAAGUCCCGCAACGAGCGCAACCCUUGAUCUUAGUUGCCAGCAUUCAGUUGGGCACUCUAAGGUGACUGCCGGUGACAAACCGGAGGAAGGUGGGGAUGACGUCAAAUCAUCAUGCCCCUUAUGACCUGGGCUACACACGUGCUACAAUGGAUGGUACAAAGAGCUGCGAACCCGCGAGGGUAAGCGAAUCUCAUAAAGCCAUUCUCAGUUCGGA